UACGACCUCAACUCAAGCAAGGCUACCCGCUGAACUUAAGCAUAUCAGUAAGCGGAGGAAAAGAAACUAACUAGGAUU
This 78-nucleotide ribosomal RNA is filed under the name Steinernema poinari. Its description in RNAcentral is "partial 28S ribosomal RNA". It matches the Rfam family "Eukaryotic large subunit ribosomal RNA", at positions 1 to 76 of the family's 3401-position model. The record is from RNAcentral. Lineage: Eukaryota; Metazoa; Nematoda; Chromadorea; Rhabditida; Steinernematidae.